CUGUCCUACGGGGGGCAGCAGUGGGGAAUAUUGCACAAUGGGGGAAACCCUGAUGCCGCGACGCCGCGUGAGUGAAGAAGUAAUUCGUUAUGUAAAGCUCUAUCAGCAGGGAAGAAACAGACGGUACCUGAGUAAGAAGCCCCGGCUAACUACGUGCCAGCAGCCGCGGUAAUACGUAGGGGGCAAGCGUUAUCCGGAUUUACUGGGUGUAAAGGGAGCGUAGACGGCAGGGCAAGUCUGGAGUGAAAGCCCGGGGCCCAACCCCGGGACUGCUUUGGAAACUGCCAUGCUAGAGUGCUGGAGAG
This 305-nucleotide ribosomal RNA is filed under the name uncultured bacterium. RNAcentral's name for it is "bacterial SSU rRNA". It matches the Rfam family "Bacterial small subunit ribosomal RNA", at positions 334 to 656 of the family's 1533-position model. The record is from RNAcentral.